This 212-nucleotide ribosomal RNA is filed under the name uncultured bacterium. RNAcentral's name for it is "partial 16S ribosomal RNA". It matches the Rfam family "Bacterial small subunit ribosomal RNA", at positions 524 to 732 of the family's 1533-position model. The record is from RNAcentral.
UACGUAGGGUGCAAGCGUUAAUCGGAAUUACUGGGCGUAAAGCGUGCGCAGGCGGUUUUGUAAGCCGGAUGUGAAAUCCCCGGGCUUAACCGUGGGAACUGGGCAUUCGGGACUGCAAGGCUGGAGUGCGGCAGAGGAGACUGGAAUCCUGGUGUAGCAGUGAAAUGCGUAGAAUAUCAGGAGGAACACCGGUGGCGAAGGCGGGUCUCUGG